UCCUACGGGAGGCAGCAGUGGGGAAUCUUGCGCAAUGGGCGAAAGCCUGACGCAGCGACGCCGCGUGAGGGAUGACGGCCUUCGGGUUGUAAACCUCUUUCGACCCUGACGAAGCGGGAGUGACGGUAGGGGGAGAAGAAGCACCGGCCAACUACGUGCCAGCAGCCGCGGUAAGACGUAGGGUGCGAGCGUUGUCCGGAUUUAUUGGGCGUAAAGAGCUCGUAGGCGGCUCGUCGCGUCGGCUGUGAAAACCCGCAGCUUAACUGUGGGCUUGCAGCUGAUACGGGCGGGCUAGAGUUCGGUAGGGGAGACUGGAAUUCCUGGUGUAGCGGUGAAAUGCGUAGAUAUCAAGCGGAACACCGGUGGCGAAGGCGGCCUUCUGGACGAUGACUGACGCUGAGACGCGAAAGCGUGGGGAGCAAACAGGAUUAGAUACCCUGGUAGUCCACGCCGUAAACGAUGAGUGCUAGGUGUCACGGGCUUUGACCCUCGUGGUGCCGAAGCUAACGCGUUAAGCACUCCGCCUGGGGAGUACGGCCGCAAGGCUAAAACUCAAAUGAAUUG
RNAcentral lists this ribosomal RNA (564 nucleotides) under uncultured bacterium. RNAcentral's name for it is "bacterial SSU rRNA". It matches the Rfam family "Bacterial small subunit ribosomal RNA", at positions 337 to 912 of the family's 1533-position model. The record is from RNAcentral.